Talpa occidentalis (Iberian mole) is the source of this 5555-nucleotide long non-coding RNA. RefSeq lists it as uncharacterized. The transcript is spliced from 7 exons. Lineage: Eukaryota; Metazoa; Chordata; Mammalia; Eulipotyphla; Talpidae. The record is from RefSeq and is a predicted model, not a curated record.
GUACUCCCAUCCCUCUUUGAACUUAGCACACUCGCCACUGAGUACCACUGUGACUGGACUAGGUUUUCUUUGGGCUUGAGUUGCAGGGAAAGUCCUUGCCUGAGCCUGGCUGCCUCCCAGCCACGUCCUUCAUCCAGCGAAGACAAGGCCCGUCCCCUCAGCGGCGCUGGCUCACAUCGGCAUUGCUCCUUGCAGGGACAGAAGGAUCACUCACUCUUGGAGAGAAGCUCAGACAUGACUCUCCAGCAUUCAGGAUGCAUCAGAGACUCUGCUCCUGAUUCUACGUGGAUUGGUGUUCCCAUGUUUUAAACUGAAGAAGUUGAUCGAUCUAUAGGAUAUAAGUAGGUGUUUUGGAUCGAUCAGAACAGACAGGCUCUGGGGAAGUUCAGCCUGGACAAGAAGAAAUGACGUGGAAUGCAAGAGAAUACCUCAAGUGCAGGACAAGUGUCUGUGAAAGAAGGGAUGCCAGAGAAUUCCCUUCCCCUCCAACAAACGAAGACACAGGAAGGUGGCCAGCUGCCUGCAAGCCAGGAAGAGAGGUAUCGCCAAGAAACAGAUGACUGACAGCUGGACCUGGGAUCUCCAGCCUGCAGAACUGAGCUCCAUUGGAGACCCUUGUGAUGCUGGAAAUUUGGCAGCUUCCAGAAUUAGAGCAGCCUUGGUCAGUGGUUGCUCAUCCUAGCAUCCUUCCACACUGCCAUCAUUACACCCCGUGUAAGUGAAAUCACAUGUGCAGGAAUGUGUUCUAGUUCAGUCCCUUCAGAGGAGAGAAACCAGAACAGUGAUGAUCUGCCACAGCUUACAUGUCAGCAGCUAGCUUGGAAAUUGGCUAAGGUGAAGCUGAAAAGCUUUCACAGUCCCCAGAUGCUUCCAUGGUCCCCAACUGCAAAUACUGGAAAGAAAGCGCUGGGGGGAAAGAUGAGUCUUUCUUUUUCCUCCAAGUAUUAGAAAUGGAGUUUUAGUUGAAAGCUGCAAAGAGAUAGAUUUAGGCUCAAUACAAGGAAGAACCUCUAUUCAGAAUGAACUUUUUGAAUGUCCUGCUGUGGUGUGAGCUGUCAAGCAGCGAUGUGAUGGUGACAUAGUUGGCAGAAUUUUAGGAAAGAUUCAAACAUCCAUCAUGUUGGAGGUUGGACUGAAUGAGAAUUACGGCUUCUUUCAAUUCUGAGGUUCUAUCCCCAGAACCAAAGGCCAGAAUUGCUGUGGCUUUUAGCAGGUCAUUAUUGGCCUGUGGUCUCCUACUCAGGGCAGAGCAGAGCUAGACCAGCCCAAGGUUGUCUCUUAUGAAGGCCUCUGAUGAAGAAAACGUAUUAGCUCAUGUGCUGUGUGACCCUGUCUCUAAAUAUUUCUGAGAUGGAAGAAAUAGAGCAGAUUCCCCACAUGGAUCUGGGUCUCCUUGUCCUUGCUACACUGUCAAAGUCAGCUCUGAUGUGUUUUCUUCAAACUCAAAUAUACAUUACUAAAGACAAUUCAAAAUAUUGUCCCUUCAAGGAGUAAGGCUGUUCAGGGGUUAAUAAUGACUCCUAUUUGUUAAAUAUAUGCUAUAUGCGAAGCACUAUACUAAGCAGUUGGUUAUAUUUAUUCAUUUCAUUUUCAAAAUAACUCUACCAGUGGGUGUGAUGGUAUCAGUUUCUACAUGGGGAAACACACAGUAAGUUAAUAGUCACAGUCAAUGAAUUGGUGGAGGUGAGACUCAAUCCAGGAAUAACAAAACCAGAAUUAGUAGCCAUGAUGGGAGGCUGCCUCUCCAAGGCUAAGAAAAAAUUUGAGUCAUGUGUCAUAAUUCUGAUAGCAACAUUGCUGCCCAUGCUUUUAGAAUAGCUGAACAGCCCCCAGUGUGGAGAAGCCUCAGUGUAGAGCAGUCCCCAAUGUUGAGCAGCCACAGUGUAGAGCAGCCCCUGCUGUAGAGCAGCCCCAGGGUAGAGCAGUCCCAGGGUAGAGCAGCCCCUACUGUAGAGCAGCCCCAGGGUAGAGCAGCCCCUACUGUAGAGCAGCCCCAGGGUAGAGCAGCUCUUAUCGUAGAGCAGCCCCAGGGUAGAGCAGCCCUAGUGUAGAGCAGCUCCUACUGUAGAGCAGCCCCAGGGUAGAGCAGCUCCUACUGUAGAGCAGCCCCAGGGUAGAGCAGCCCCAGUGUAGAGCAGCCCCUACUGUAGAGCAGCCCCUGUGUAAAGAAGCCCCUGCUGUAGAGCAGCCCCAGUGUACAGCAGCCCCCACUGUAGAGCAGCCCCAGGUUAGAGCAACCCCCACUGUAGAGCAACCCCAGGGUAGAUCAGCCCCUACUGUAGAGAAGCUCCUACUGUAGAGCAGCCCCAGUGUAGAGCAGCCCUAUUGUAGAGAAGCCCCCAGUGUAGAGCAGCCCCAGUGUAGAACAGCCCCUACUAUAGAGCAGCCCCUGUGUAGAGCAGCUCCCCAGACUGAAGAAGGCCGUGAAUUUCGGACAAUGGAAGGAACCAUUAUUUAGUGUUGACACUAUUUUUUGGACUACUGACAACCACAGUCUGAUCACAUAAAUCCAGCCUUACUUCACCUGGCUCAUUUGCAGAGAAUAACAAGUACGCAUGCCGAUGUGGAUACAACCAGAGAGGCCGCAUACAAGGGAGGGGAGGGAAAGGCAUUUUACUGGUAUCUCAAAGAAACAAAGCUCCACACAUUUAUUAUGUUUUUCCUUGUUACAAAAAUAAUAUUUCUUCACUGUAAAACAAAUUGGAAAAUAUGGAAAAGCACAAAAAAAGAAGAUAUCACCUGCAAUCCUCAGACUGCCCAGUGGCCCAGAUGACCACUGGGAACGCUCAGGCACACAGACUUUCAGCCACGUACUGGAGGGCUGCUCCUUGGUCCCGGGAAAGCCAGGACUUGGACGUGACCCAGAUGCACUAGUCCUCUGGGAGGAGAGCUACCGAGGCUGAAGAGAGGUUUGACCCUGCAAUUAUAUCUUCUUGGCCCGUGGGUGUCCCUUAGCUGUGAAGAGAUGGCCAGGUGAAGGGAGUAGGUGCUGCUCCCCUGACCACCUCGCCUGCCUGGAAGCCACCACUCAUCCUCUCACCUUCCUGGCACCCCUCCAGUGGGGGUCAGUCUGCGGUGCUCCCCACAUGGCCUCCAGGUCUCAGGUGACAGUGGGCCCUGGGGAAGGGGAGCACCACAGAGGGAGCUGGAAAUUGCCCCUAGACAUGUCCUCUGGCCUUCAGCAUGAGGAACGGAACUGUCCAUGGCCUUAGGAGGGAACUCAAGGAGCCAGAAAGGAGUCCUGAGGGGGCAGUGGGGUAGUGGGGAGCAGGGGUGGCUUAAAGUACUUGCAUUUGUCCACCUCAGUCUUUACAAAGACUAUUUAACUGAGGUGGUUCUAUUAUUCCACUCAGCUGUUUUGAAUCGGAUUGAAGCAUUUGCCUGGAAUUUUGUUGGGAAAAAAAAAAACAAUUGGUGGGGAGAUUCUGGAAAUCAUCGGUGGCUGUUUAUGAUGUAAAACCUGUCUUUACCAAGGGAGCCUGGGGUUGGAAAAAGUCAAAGCACCUCCUGCUUUAUGGUCUUGAGCCACUCUGAACCUUGCUCCUCACUCAUAAAAACAGGUGAUAAUAAAACUUCUGUCACACAUGUGGGAUGAAAGGUCUAAUUGCUUUCUCUGAAGGGAGCAACGGUCUUUCCCUGGGAGAGGGGUCUGUGGAAGCUGUCAUUCUCCUCAGCAAACCCUCCCUUUUCUGAGCCCUAAACUCAGCACUGCGUUUUCAUGAGCUCCAUCCCAGCAACUGAGCUCGGGGCUCUUGACUCACGCUAACAAAGUCUCCGGAGGCGUGUGAAGGAGUUGUCCUGUGAGAAGGGUGCGUGGAAGUUGCUCAGGCCCCUCCAGUGCCUUCGUUCUCUGUGAGCAAUCUCUGCAGGUAAAAUCAUUUAUCAGAAGGAUGUGUGGGGACCGUGGUGUCAGACCAGAGAAAGUAAUUCUAUGACUCAAGUGUUUGCCAGCUGACCCAGUGACACAUUCACUUCCAAGGCAGGCGUUUGCCUGUCAGACAGACGGACACUCAUCUGGCCCUGAUGGGGCAGCCUGAAGAGGCCCCUCUUCUCAGAAUGCACAAUACAAUUGAUUGGGCUUCUUUUACAAUCCUGCUCCAAUUUCAUCUCCCUGAGAUUGCUCCCAGAUCACCUUGACUGGAGUUUUGGGUGUUCCACACCCUUGACUCACACAAUUAUAGAUAAUAUCUGUGUUUACUUUUACAGUUGCCUAAUUACUUCCAUUGUGUGUGGGUUUUACUAGGUUUAACACUCAGUGGACAACUGUAUUCCCUCAAGUUCUGGGUGUGUCUCACCCCCUUAUGGGCUGCAAUGUAGAUGGGAAAGCUGCCAGAACCACCGGGAUUAUUCACACAGUGGGAAGGUCACCACUGCGUGCUGGGGGUAACAAAGCCAGGUCUCUGACCUCAGUUUCCAGAUGGGAGCCUGGCUCACCAGCAGCACCCCUCUGGCUCCCUUGGGUGCAAGGGCAUCAGACUAUUUAGGAAAGUGCAGGGAGCACUUACUUGAUGAUCAGUGUCCAAUAUUCUGUCUGGAUUCUGUUUGGGCUUGUAUUGGUCUGUUAUGUAAGCGAUCUCUUGACAUCUGUUAACUGAUCUCCAGCAUUCCUGCAGUGGGCGGAUUUCAGCUGUCUUCCCAGUUGGCGCAGCACGUCAGUCAGUGAGUUGUAUAAAUAUUUAUUCAGUGCCCACUAAUUGACCAGGUAAACAGAGAAGGCCACAGACCUGAGAUCAUGGUCUUUGAGGAGAAAAAAGCCCUGAGUGUUUGGUCAGCACAAACUGUCAGUGAUGAUAAGCUGUAGAAUCUUUGGGGAGGCAGGAGGGGGAGGCUCUUUGGUUGUUAGAAAACUACCUUUUUCUCUCUAGUCAUUAGGCUUCUUGAUUCUGAUAAUUGAAAAUCACCAGCAAAAGCCACAGGAUGACCCCUUCAAGGUGAUUCCCAAAUGGGGAGCAGUGGAGGCUGGGCAUUAAUUACAAGGCCCCAGGACUAGGUCCCUCUUCUAUCCUAUGGCCUGCCCUGGGCUUUGCUUCUCUCCCAGCUCUGGACUGUCUGCAAACAGGAGACUGUGUCUUUGCUCUUCCUUUCCAGCCCUCUCUGUCCUCCCAACCCAUGGAGCUCCAUCCUGACCGGAGUGUUCUAUGACUCAGCACUUCCCUGGGCCCCGUGGCAACCUGAGCAUAGUGGGUCUGCAGGAGUGCCCUCUGUCUUAUGCUGGACCCUGCUCUGUUGCCUCCUGCUUAAUACCGGAGACUUAAUCCUGACUUAACAAAAUGGGGCGUCGUUUGUGCUGAGUAGUGCCCAGUGCAUGAAGGGAGAGCCGGUUGCUUGUUUCCCUCGAACACAUUAAAAUCAAUGGUGUUUGCUCAUCUGGCAGAAUGACAACUCAUUCCUCUGGACAGCUGGCUUCACAAUUGCUCGUUCAGGAGGAAAUCUGAUAAGAAACAAUAGUCUGGUCUUCGGGAGCAUUACACCGUUGUAUUCUAAUUUAAACUUCAGGCCCGCUGACUGUCUGUUUUGUCAUCUCCUUUAGAGUGGUGUUUUUUGUUUGUAUUUUU